GAUGAACGCUAGCUACAGGCUUAACACAUGCAAGUCGAGGGGAAACGACAUCGAAAGCUUGCUUUUGAUGGGCGUCGACCGGCGCACGGGUGAGUAACGCGUAUCCAACCUGCCCACAACUUGGGGAUAACCUUGCGAACGUAAGACUAAUACCCAAUGACGUCUCUAGAAGACAUCUGAAAGAGAUUAAAGAUUUAUCGGUGAUGGAUGGGGAUGCGUCUGAUUAGCUUGUUGGCGGGGUAACGGCCCACCAAGGCGACGAUCAGUAGGGGUUCUGGUAGGAAGGUCCCUCACAUUGAAACUGAGACACGGUCCAAACUCCUACGGGAGGCAGCAGUGAGGAAUAUUGGUCAAUGGGCGAGAGCCUGAACCAGCCAAGUAGCGUGCAGGAUGACGGCCCUAUGGGUUGUAAACUGCUUUUAUAAGGGAAUAAAGUGAGUCUCGUGAGACUUUUUGCAUGUACCUUAUGAAUAAGGACCGGCUAAGUCCGUGCCAGCCGCCGCCGUAA
RNAcentral lists this ribosomal RNA (508 nucleotides) under uncultured bacterium. RNAcentral's name for it is "partial 16S ribosomal RNA". It matches the Rfam family "Bacterial small subunit ribosomal RNA", at positions 28 to 523 of the family's 1533-position model. The record is from RNAcentral.